AUUGAACGCUGGCGGCAGGCCUAACACAUGCAAGUCGAACGGUAACAUGAAGAAUCUUGCUUCUUUGCUGACGAGUGGCGGGGGGGGGAGUAAUGUGUUGGAAAUUGCCUGAUGGAGGGUGAUAUCUACUCGAAACGGUAGCUAAUACCGCAUAACGUCGCAAUACCAAAGAGGGGGACCUUCGGGCCUCUUUCCAUCGGGUGAGCCCAGAUGGGAGUAGCUAGCAGGUGGGGUAACGGCUCACCUAGGCGACGAUCCCUAGCUGGUCUGAGAGGAUGACCAGCCACACUGGAACUGAGACACGGUCCAGACUCCUACGGGAGGCAGCAGUGGGGAAUAUUGCACAAUGGGCGCAAGCCUGAUGCAGCCAUGCCGCGUGUAUGAAGAAGGCCUUCGGGUUGUAAAGUACUUUCAGCGGGGAGGAAGGGAGUAAAGUUAAUACCUGUGCUCAUUGACGUUACCCGCAGAAGAAGCACCGGCUAACUCCGUG
Molecule: ribosomal RNA, 490 nt
Filed under: uncultured bacterium
Lineage: Bacteria
Description: partial 16S ribosomal RNA
Rfam family: Bacterial small subunit ribosomal RNA
Source: RNAcentral